This 69-nucleotide transfer RNA is filed under the name Heterocentrotus mammillatus (pencil urchin). Its description in RNAcentral is "tRNA-Cys". It matches the Rfam family "tRNA". From Rfam's summary of the family: Transfer RNA (tRNA) molecules are approximately 80 nucleotides in length. Their secondary structure includes four short double-helical elements and three loops (D, anti-codon, and T loops). Lineage: Eukaryota; Metazoa; Echinodermata; Echinoidea; Camarodonta; Echinometridae. The record is from RNAcentral.
GGCUUUGUAGUGUAAUAUAACAUUUAGGAUUGCAAAUCCUUAGACGCAAUUAAAACAUUGCCAAAGCUU